RNAcentral lists this ribosomal RNA (556 nucleotides) under Bradyrhizobium elkanii. RNAcentral's name for it is "eukaryotic LSU rRNA". The record is from RNAcentral. Lineage: Bacteria; Pseudomonadati; Pseudomonadota; Alphaproteobacteria; Hyphomicrobiales; Nitrobacteraceae.
CACUAGGGCCUCUGUUUCUMMCCAAGMCUUCUUAASSAAGCGAACUAGGUUUGAGCCUAGCUAGAGGAGAAAUGCUACAGUCUUUUGUGCGUGCAGUGGCAGGUAGGCCUGGUUACUCACGCUUCACUACAAAGCGCCUGCUGCCAUUGCGGCAACCACUAGUUUGGUAGACCACCUCGGUCUGCCCUAGCUUGGCUGCUGGAGUACGAACGUUUCGUGCGCGAGAGGGUCGACUCGAUACCGGGGCAUGGUCUUCUGCUUACGAGGCGUGAGCUAGUUUUACCACCCGGACCCUUCUGAACUUGAAGGCUGGAGUGCGAAUAGUUCGCGCGCGAGAUUGGUUGACUCGAUGUUCGGGGAUUGUGCUCUCUGUACGGCCGCGCGUGCGCUGCGAAUCAGCCACGUGGCGUGUCGCGAGUCGGGGACCGCGCACAARCAGGCGCUUCUUUCUCUUUGCUUCUGCCGCUUUAGGGCGGUUACCUCGAGUUGUUAGGACUUUGACAACCGGGGACUUACAAAGAUUUUGCUAGGCUAUCUAUCGCACUCGACUARYUCC